CAGUAGCCGCGGUAAUACGUAGGGUGCAAGCGUUAAUCGGAAUUACUGGGCGUAAAGCGUGCGCAGGCGGUUCUAUAAGACAGAUGUGAAAUCCCCGGGCUCAACCUGGGAACUGCAUUUGUGACUGUAGAGCUGGAGUGCGGCAGAGGGGGAUGGAAUUCCGCGUGUAGCAGUGUAAUGCGUAGAUAUGCGGAGGAACACCGAUGGCGAAGGCAAUCCCCUGGGCCUGCACUGACGCUCAUGCACGAAAGCGUGGGGAGCAAACAGGAUUAGAUACCCCCGUAGUCCCUGUCUCUUAUAC
Molecule: ribosomal RNA, 301 nt
Filed under: uncultured bacterium
Lineage: Bacteria
Description: partial 16S ribosomal RNA
Rfam family: Bacterial small subunit ribosomal RNA
Source: RNAcentral